AAAGCUGAAGCUGUGUCAUCCAGACAGAUGAUAGCAAGGCCGGCCAUCUAUCAGUAAUGAGGCCCAUGAACAGGACCGGGAAAAGGCUGCGGACUGUGGCCGUCAGCCGCACGGCGAUACUCGGACUGCCAGUCACGUCGAUUCCCGGCGGCGGCGCAGGGCAACGCACGCGGACCCGCAUUCCCAUGGCUACCUCAGGGACGGUGGCUACUCUCCAAGGCAAUCCGGUGAAUCUCUCCGCCGCCCUUGCUGCCAGGUAACCAAAUUUCAGGGAUAUGCUGCAGGUUCCGUUCAGACAUGAAACUAUGAAAGCAAGGACCCUCCUGAUAGUCAUGUGUGAGUAUCGACGGUAUGGUGGUUCUCAAUCGGCGGCUGAUGUGUAUGCCAUUUCUUUUUUCCUUGCGCGCCACUGCAUAUGAUUGUACGGAUCCAUCGCCCGUGGCUGUACUAAGCGUUCCAUAGAACAUUGACUUGGGAACAGCAUCUCUUCCGCAUUUCUUUCUUUUUUUCAAAAGAAGAACGUUGACUUGACUAUGAGUUUAUGUCGACCAUCCA
Lolium perenne is the source of this 555-nucleotide long non-coding RNA. RefSeq lists it as uncharacterized. The record is from RefSeq and is a predicted model, not a curated record. NCBI's taxonomy places the organism in Eukaryota, Viridiplantae, Streptophyta, Magnoliopsida, Poales, Poaceae.